RNAcentral lists this microRNA precursor (80 nucleotides) under Marmota monax (woodchuck). Lineage: Eukaryota; Metazoa; Chordata; Mammalia; Rodentia; Sciuridae. The record is from RNAcentral.
ACACACACACACACACACACACACACACUAUAUAUAUAUAUAUAUAUAUAUAUAUAGUGUGUGUGUGUGUGUGUGUGUGU